GAUGAAGAACGUAGCGAAACGCGAAAGGUAAUGCGAAUUGCAGAAUCAGUGAGUCAUCGAAUCUUUGAACGCACAUUGCGCCCUCUGGUAUUCCGGGGGGCAUGCCUGUUCGAGCGUCAUUAUAACCACUCAAGCUCUCGCUUGGUAUUGGGGUUCGCGGUUCCGCGGCCCCUAAAAUCAGUGGCGGUGCCUGUCGGCUCUACGCGUAGUAAUACUCCUCGCGAUUGAGUCCGGUAGGUCUACUUGCCAGCAACCCCCAAUUUUUACAGGUUGACCUCGGAUCAGGUAGGGAUACCCGCUGAACUUAAGCAUAUCAAUAAGCGGAGGA
Molecule: unclassified non-coding RNA, 328 nt
Filed under: soil metagenome
Description: partial contains 5.8S ribosomal RNA, internal transcribed spacer 2, and large subunit ribosomal RNA
Rfam family: 5.8S ribosomal RNA (bases 1-119)
Source: RNAcentral